CGGCCCUCUGGAGACCCGGUUCAGGAACGGCGGACGAUGUGUUUCAAAAAACUGGCGUGGUAAUUCUCACAAACGGUUACGUUCACGAGAAUUUUGCUAUACUAUACUACAGAGCUAGUUUGGAUGGAGCAUUUGCAUCCGCUGCGGGAGGGCCAGUCCCAGGCCUAGCUGCAUUACCGCCCGAGAAGGUC
Long non-coding RNA from Ooceraea biroi (clonal raider ant), 191 nucleotides. RefSeq lists it as uncharacterized. Lineage: Eukaryota; Metazoa; Arthropoda; Insecta; Hymenoptera; Formicidae. The record is from RefSeq and is a predicted model, not a curated record.